UACGGAGGGUGCAAGCGUUAAUCGGAAUUACUGGGCGUAAAGCGCACGCAGGCGGUUUAUUAAGUCAGAUGUGAAAGCCCCGGGCUUAACCUGGGAAAUGCAUCUGAAACUGGGAGGCUAGAGUCUUGUAGAGGGGGGUAGAAUUCCAUGUGUAGCGGUGAAAUGCGUAGAGAUUUGGAGGAAUACCGGUGGCGAAGGCGGCCCCCUGGACCAAGACUGACGCUCAGGUGCGAAAGCGUGGGGAGCAAACAGG
Molecule: ribosomal RNA, 253 nt
Filed under: uncultured bacterium
Lineage: Bacteria
Description: partial 16S ribosomal RNA
Rfam family: Bacterial small subunit ribosomal RNA
Source: RNAcentral